ACCAACAGGGAUUGCCCCAGUAACGGCGAGUGAAGCGGCAACAGCUCAAAUUUGAAAUCUGGCCCCCAGGGCCCGAGUUGUAAUUUGCAGAGGAUGCUUUUGGCGCGGCGCCUUCCGAGUUCCCUGGAACGGGACGCCAUAGAGGGUGAGAGCCCCGUCUGGUCGGACGCCAAGCCAGUGUAAAGCUCCUUCGACGAGUCGAGUAGUUUGGGAAUGCUGCUCUAAAUGGGAGGUAUAUGUCUUCUAAAGCUAAAUAUAGGCCAGAGACCGAUAGCGCACAAGUAGAGUGAUCGAAAGAUGAAAAGCACUUUGAAAAGAGGGUUAAACAGUACGUGAAAUUGUUGAAAGGGAAGCACUUGUGACCAGACUUGGGCCCGGUGAAUCAUCCAGCGUUCUCGCUGGUGCACUUCGCCGGGCCCAGGCCAGCAUCAGUUCGCCGCGGGGGAUAAAAGCUUCGGGAACGUAGCUCCCUCGGGAGUGUUAUAGCCCGUUGCAUAAUACCCUGCGGUGGACUGAGGUUCGCGCUCCGCAAGGAUGCUGGCGUAAUGGUCACCAGUGACCCGUCUUGAAACACGGACCAAGGAGUCGUCUUCGUAUGCGAGUGUUCGGGUGUCAAACCCCUACGCGUAAUGAAAGUGAACGCAGGUGAGAGCUUCGGCGCAUCAUCGACCGAUCCUGAUGUUCUCGGAUGGAUUUGAGUAAGAGCAUACGGGGCCGGACCCGAAAGAAGGUGAACUAUGCCUGUAUAGGGUGAAGCCAGAGGAAACUCUGGUGGAGGCUCGCAGCGGUUCUGACGUGCAAAUCGAUCGUCAAAUAUGGGCAUGGGGGCGAAAGACUAAUCGAACCUU
Molecule: ribosomal RNA, 848 nt
Filed under: Ophiocordyceps sinensis
Lineage: Eukaryota; Fungi; Ascomycota; Sordariomycetes; Hypocreales; Ophiocordycipitaceae
Description: LSU rRNA
Rfam family: Eukaryotic large subunit ribosomal RNA
Source: RNAcentral